This 456-nucleotide long non-coding RNA is filed under the name Apteryx haastii (Great spotted kiwi). RNAcentral's name for it is "lncRNA (ENSAHAG00000015782.1)". The record is from RNAcentral. Lineage: Eukaryota; Metazoa; Chordata; Aves; Apterygiformes; Apterygidae.
GCUAUUUUCAGAUCACAUAAUGCUUCAGUGCCAGCCUAAUUAUGCAUUUCUGUAAUGUGGGUAUCCUGUACUGUCAAGAUACUGUAUCCUGACUGCAUAUCAAGACUAGAAAGAAGAUUCAGCCCAUGCAUGAAACUCUGCAGAACUAUGAACAAAAGUACAAUUCAGGAGAUGUUUCUGAGAGUUGUAUGGCUCAGGUGCACAAUGAAUCCUGAAGUCGUGAGAUCUGUAAGUUCAGAACUUGUCCACAUUAUAAUUUUUUCUCAAAAUCUCUGCAAGAAUGAAAAUGUAACAAUUCAAAGAAAUAAAAAGGAUCAAGCUGAAGAAUGUGUGAGGAAUUUCAUGAGUACAGGGGAGAAACAGGUCCUGAACAUGCACAUGUGGAGGACUAUAGUAAGCUUCAAGAGAGAACCAGAAUACCCUUGUGGACAUCCAAGCACCUUUAAGAGGAUAUGA